AGUCACACUGGAACUGAGACACGGUCCAGACUCCUACGGGAGGCAGCAGUGGGGAAUAUUGGACAAUGGGCGAAAGCCUGAUCCAGCCAUGCCGCGUGUGUGAAGAAGGUCUUCGGAUUGUAAAGCACUUUAAGUUGGGAGGAAGGGCAGUAAGUUAAUACUUGCUUUUUGACGUUACCGACAGAAUAAGCACCGGCUAACUCUGUGCCAGCAGCCGCGGUAAUACAGAGGGUGCAAGCGUUAAUCGGAAUUACUGGGCGUAAAGCGCGCGUAGGUGGUUCGUUAA
RNAcentral lists this ribosomal RNA (286 nucleotides) under Pseudomonas sp. RNAcentral describes it as "partial 16S ribosomal RNA". It matches the Rfam family "Bacterial small subunit ribosomal RNA", at positions 306 to 586 of the family's 1533-position model. Lineage: Bacteria; Pseudomonadati; Pseudomonadota; Gammaproteobacteria; Pseudomonadales; Pseudomonadaceae. The record is from RNAcentral.